ACAGGCUCCGGACGCGCAGGCUCAGCGGCCAUGGCUCACGGGCCCAGCCACUCCGCGGCAUGUGGGAUCUUCCCGGACCGGGGCACGAACCCGUGUCCGCUGCAUCGGCAGGCGGACUCUCAACCACUGCGCCACCAGGGAAGCCCUAGAGUGUUACCCACCUGCCUGCCCUCAUCCCUGUACCUUUGGGCAGCCCCAGCUGCUGCAGUUCACUGGACAAGGACUCGCCAUCCACGCUAUGCUUGGCCGCACUGGAGAGGAUGAAACUCAGCACUGCCACUGUGGCCUUCACAUCACCCGACUCUGGGGGGAGCCGUGGGUGGAAUGGGGGGUGUCACUGUGGCCCCAGCCACCUCCUUGACACCCCACUAUCUUCAGCUCAGAGCCUCCAGGCCUCCUUGAGCCAUGAGCACCGCUACUGCCCCACUGGGAGUGGGCAGAGGACCCUAGGGCUGGCAAUGUCUUUCUUCCCUCAUGCUCCUCUGCUGAGGCAGGUCUGCGGACCCAGUGGGGUACUCACCAAACCUGGCAUCAGCGGUGAGCUUCAGGAUCUUCUCAUACUGUGGAGAAAGGAGGCCCUCAAGGGGUGCCGGACCCCCACUCACUAGCCCCCAACCCCUGGCCUGGAUCCUGUGGUAAGGACACGAGGUAUCUAGGGAGGGUGGGAGCUGAUCACCCGUCUCCCUGGGUCUGGUGCACUUUCAGGGCAGUGGGGGUCACAGGGUCAUGGGACAGUGGGGUGCGGGGCCCUGCACUCACGUCAAUCCCCUGUCCCAGAAGGUCCUUCAGCACCUGGCUACACAGCAGCCUCAGCUUCACGGAGGACUGGAGGGGAAGGCCUUACAUCAGCCAGACUGACCCACCUCACCCCUCCAUGCUGGUGGGCUGGCUCAGAGAAGGCUGGCCACAUACCUGACCAGUCACACAGCAUGUUCGGACAGCCCGAGAGCGCUGAGGCCCCAGCCCAAGAGUGACCUCCCCACCCUCCACCCUCAGAGCCCCCACCCCCAAGACCCCAUGCACUCAACGAUUUUGGCCAGCGUGCUGAUCUCUGCCAGGACCCAGUCAGGACAGUCCAGGUCACCACAGAACCGGAACCUCUGCAAGGGAGUAAGCUCCAGCCAUACUGGCCUCCCUGCUGCUCCUGUUGCAGAUUAAACGUGGCUUGCUCUCUCACUUCACUCAGGUCUCUGCUCAAAUGACACCUCUUCUGAUGGACUUUCUCUGACUUUGCUUUCUUAAAUAGCCCCUCACACAAGGAAAUGUUUGGGGUCAGUGGAUGUAUUCAUUAUCUUGAUCAUGGUAAUGUUUUCAUGAGCAUAUAUGCAUCGAAACUUAUCGAACCAUAUAUUUGCACACACAUGGUUUGUUUUAUGUCGAUAUUAUCUCAAGGAAGCUGUUAAAAAAAAAUAAAACAGCUCUUCACC
This is a long non-coding RNA of Globicephala melas (long-finned pilot whale), 1427 nucleotides long. RefSeq lists it as uncharacterized. NCBI's taxonomy places the organism in Eukaryota, Metazoa, Chordata, Mammalia, Artiodactyla, Delphinidae. The record is from RefSeq and is a predicted model, not a curated record.